GACGAACGCUGGCGGCGUGCCUAAUACAUGCAAGUAGAACGCACAGUUUAUACCGUAGCUUGCUACACCAUAUACUGUGAGUUGCGAACGGGUGAGUAACGCGUAGGUAACCUGCCUGGUAGCGGGGGAUAACUAUUGGAAACGAUAGCUAAUACCGCAUAAUAUUGAUUAUUGCAUGAUAAUUGAUUGAAAGAUGCUAUUGCAUCACUACCAGAUGGACCUGCGUUGUAUUAGCUAGUAGGUGAGGUAACGGCUCACCUAGGCGACGAUACAUAGCCGACCUGAGAGGGUGAUCGGCCACACUGGGACUGAGACACGGCCCAGACUCCUACGGGAGGCAGCAGUAGGGAAUCUUCGGCAAUGGACGAAAGUCUGAACGAGCAACGCCGCGUGAGUGAAGAAGGUUGUCGGAUCGUAAAGCUCUGUUGUAAGAGAAGAACGGGUGUGAGAGUGGAAAGUUCACACUGUGACGGUAUCUGACCAGAAAGGGACGGCUAACUACGUG
Molecule: ribosomal RNA, 505 nt
Filed under: uncultured bacterium
Lineage: Bacteria
Description: partial 16S ribosomal RNA
Rfam family: Bacterial small subunit ribosomal RNA
Source: RNAcentral